This 991-nucleotide ribosomal RNA is filed under the name Klebsiella variicola. RNAcentral describes it as "bacterial SSU rRNA". It matches the Rfam family "Bacterial small subunit ribosomal RNA", at positions 480 to 1471 of the family's 1533-position model. The record is from RNAcentral. Lineage: Bacteria; Pseudomonadati; Pseudomonadota; Gammaproteobacteria; Enterobacterales; Enterobacteriaceae.
UCCCCCAGAAGAACCCCGGUUAACUCCGUGCCAGCAGCCGCGGUAAUCCGGAGGGUCCAAGCGUUAAUCGGAAUUACUGGGCGUAAAGCGCACGCAGGCGGUCUGUCAAGUCGGAUGUGAAAUCCCCGGGCUCAACCUGGGAACUGCAUUCGAAACUGGCAGGCUAGAGUCUUGUAGAGGGGGGUAGAAUUCCAGGUGUAGCGGUGAAAUGCGUAGAGAUCUGGAGGAAUACCGGUGGCGAAGGCGGCCCCCUGGACAAAGACUGACGCUCAGGUGCGAAAGCGUGGGGAGCAAACAGGAUUAGAUACCCUGGUAGUCCACGCUGUAAACGAUGUCGAUUUGGAGGUUGUGCCCUUGAGGCGUGGCUUCCGGAGCUAACGCGUUAAAUCGACCGCCUGGGGAGUACGGCCGCAAGGUUAAAACUCAAAUGAAUUGACGGGGGCCCGCACAAGCGGUGGAGCAUGUGGUUUAAUUCGAUGCAACGCGAAGAACCUUACCUGGUCUUGACAUCCACAGAACUUUCCAGAGAUGGAUUGGUGCCUUCGGGAACUGUGAGACAGGUGCUGCAUGGCUGUCGUCAGCUCGUGUUGUGAAAUGUUGGGUUAAGUCCCGCAACGAGCGCAACCCUUAUCCUUUGUUGCCAGCGGUUAGGCCGGGAACUCAAAGGAGACUGCCAGUGAUAAACUGGAGGAAGGUGGGGAUGACGUCAAGUCAUCAUGGCCCUUACGACCAGGGCUACACACGUGCUACAAUGGCAUAUACAAAGAGAAGCGACCUCGCGAGAGCAAGCGGACCUCAUAAAGUAUGUCGUAGUCCGGAUUGGAGUCUGCAACUCGACUCCAUGAAGUCGGAAUCGCUAGUAAUCGUAGAUCAGAAUGCUACGGUGAAUACGUUCCCGGGCCUUGUACACACCGCCCGUCACACCAUGGGAGUGGGUUGCAAAAGAAGUAGGUAGCUUAACCUUCGGGAGGGCGCUACCACUUGUAUCGUU